GGGCUGGUAGCUCAGCGGUUAGAGCGCGCGCUUGAUAAGCGUGAGGUCGGAGGUUCAAAUCCUCCCCGGCCCA
This 73-nucleotide transfer RNA is filed under the name Limimonas halophila. RNAcentral describes it as "Rhodospirillaceae bacterium Ia16 tRNA". It matches the Rfam family "tRNA". Rfam says of the family: Transfer RNA (tRNA) molecules are approximately 80 nucleotides in length. Their secondary structure includes four short double-helical elements and three loops (D, anti-codon, and T loops). Lineage: Bacteria; Pseudomonadati; Pseudomonadota; Alphaproteobacteria; Rhodospirillales; Rhodovibrionaceae. The record is from Rfam by way of RNAcentral.